RNAcentral lists this ribosomal RNA (497 nucleotides) under uncultured bacterium. Its description in RNAcentral is "partial 16S ribosomal RNA". It matches the Rfam family "Bacterial small subunit ribosomal RNA", at positions 28 to 507 of the family's 1533-position model. The record is from RNAcentral.
GACGAACGCUGGCGGCGUGCCUAAUACAUGCAAGUUGAGCGCUGAAGGUUGGUACUUGUACCGACUGGAUGAGCAGCGAACGGGUGAGUAACGCGUGGGGAAUCUGCCUUUGAGCGGGGGACAACAUUUGGAAACGAAUGCUAAUACCGCAUAAAAACUUUAAACACAAGUUUUAAGUUUGAAAGAUGCAAUUGCAUCACUCAAAGAUGAUCCCGCGUUGUAUUAGCUAGGUGGUGAGGUAAAGGCUCACCAAGGCGAUGAUACAUAGCCGACCUGAGAGGGUGAUCGGCCACAUUGGGACUGGGACACGGCCCAAACUCCUACGGGAGGCAGCAGUAGGGAAUCUUCGGCAAUGGACGGAAGUCUGACCGAGCAACGCCGCGUGAGUGAAGAAGGUUUUCGGAUCGUAAAACUCUGUUGGUAGGGAAGAACGUUGGUGAGAGUGGAAAGCUCAUCAAGUGACGGUAACUACCCAGAAAGGGACGGCUAACUACGUG